AGCGAACGCUGGCGGCAGGCUUAACACAUGCAAGUCGAACGGGCAUAGCAAUAUGUCAGUGGCAGACGGGUGAGUAACGCGUGGGAACGUACCUUUUGGUUCGGAACAACACAGGGAAACUUGUGCUAAUACCGGAUAAGCCCUUACGGGGAAAGAUUUAUCGCCGAAAGAUCGGCCCGCGUCUGAUUAGCUAGUUGGUAGGGUAAUGGCCUACCAAGGCGACGAUCAGUAGCUGGUCUGAGAGGAUGAUCAGCCACAUUGGGACUGAGACACGGCCCAAACUCCUACGGGAGGCAGCAGUGGGGAAUAUUGGACAAUGGGCGAAAGCCUGAUCCAGCCAUGCCGCGUGAGUGAUGAAGGCCCUAGGGUUGUAAAGCUCUUUUGUGCGGGAAGAUAAUGACGGUACCGCAAGAAUAAGCCCCGGCUGACUUCGUG
Molecule: ribosomal RNA, 435 nt
Filed under: uncultured bacterium
Lineage: Bacteria
Description: partial 16S ribosomal RNA
Rfam family: Bacterial small subunit ribosomal RNA
Source: RNAcentral